UUUUCCCUGCCCUGUUGGUGAUCUUCAGAAUGUUGAGCCAACUCUCAUAAAAAGGGUAUCUCUACGGUUUUCCGAAGGAAGUUUGCCUGGCAAACUUCCCGACGAGGCUAUGAGUUAUGCCCACCUAUUUCAUAGGUUUAAAUAUUCUGCUGACACGGCAGGGUGGGGAUUUU
Molecule: non-coding RNA, 173 nt
Filed under: Desulfocapsaceae bacterium
Lineage: Bacteria; Pseudomonadati; Thermodesulfobacteriota; Desulfobulbia; Desulfobulbales; Desulfocapsaceae
Description: 6S RNA
Rfam family: 6S / SsrS RNA
About the family: E. coli 6S RNA was the first non coding RNA to be sequenced, but its function was unknown until recently.
Source: RNAcentral